AAAACCCUACACCCUAAACCCUAAACCCUAAACCCUAAACCCUAAACCCUAAACCCUAAACCCUAAACCCUAAACCCUAAACCCUAAACCCUAAACCCUAAACCCUAAACCCUAAACCCUAAACCCUAAACCCUAAACCCUAAACCCUAAAAACCCUAAACCCCUAAACCCUAAACCCUAAACCCCUAAACCCUAAACCCUAAAAACCCUAAACCCUAAACCCUAAACCCUAAACCCUAAACCCUAAACCCUAAACCCUAAACCCUAAACCCUAAACCCUAAACCCUAAACCCUAAAAACCCUAAAAACCCUAAAAACCCUCAAACCCUAAACCCUAAACCCUAAACCCUAAACCCUAAACCCUAAACCCUAAACCCUAAACCCUAAACCCUAAACCCUAAACCCUAAACCCUAAACCCUAAAAACCCUAAACCCUAAACCCUAAACCCUAAAAACCCUAAACCCUAAAAACCCUAAACCCUAAACCCUAAACCCUAAACCCUAAACCCUAAACCCUAAAAACCCUAAACCCUAAACCCUAAACCCUAAACCCUAAACCCUAAACCCUAAACCCUAAACCCUAAACCCUAAACCCUAAACCCUAAACCCUAAACCCUAAACCCUAAACCCUAAACCCUAAACCCUAAACCCUAAACCCUAAACCCUAAACCAAAAACCCUAAACCCUAAACCCUAAACCCUAAACCCUAAACCCUAAACCAAAACCAAAAAACCCGUUAUUGCUACAGUAAAAAACUCUCUCAACUUUGGUUACUGUUCAUGUAACUUUGACCAGCGUUGACCCCGCGUUGACCAGGCUUUGACCGGCCAUUAUGGCCUCAUCGGAAGAUGGUGAUGAUGAUCGGCCACCCUCCAACCCUCCCCCCCAUGCCGGCGACCAACAUACUCACCGGCCGAACCUAGAUCUACCGCCUUUACCCCCACAAAUCCACUCAAAAGCUCGGCCUUCCUCCUCCACCGUCCUCCCGGAAAAUACCAUCGUUUUGGCACUAUCUGGGCACACAUCCGAGCUGCCGACGCCCUCCCUGCCUCCCCAUGACACAAACCGGCCACCCAAAACGAAAAAAAACCAGUCAAAAACCAAACCCAGUUCACGGGUUCCUUUCCCCCCCACGGUGGAUGCCGUGCCACCAACCUUGCCCACUUCGGGCGAUGCUCAACAACUCCUAACCAUCCCUGCAAACCAGCCAUGCAAUGAGUUAACCAUGCCCACCCUCGCUGCAUCCGGAUCGGGCAACAUCAGCCCGCGGCAGUCGCAACUCCACAUCGCUUCUGCGCAACUUCCAGUCGCUGUCCAAGGUCACUCUAGCCUUGAGGAACCUACCCAUGACGAUCUGAACCAGCCCUCCUAUGCUCAGAACAAUGAGUUUGCCGCGCCUCUGCUUGCUGCUCCUGGAUCGAGCAACUCAUACCCGCGGCCUGUGCAACUUCGAUCUGCAGCGGAGCAAGUUCCAGCAGCCAUUACCGACCAACCUGGCCUUCGGGAACCAGUUCAUGAUGACUUGAAUCAGCCACCCAACUGUCAGUUCCCGGAACCCACGUUGGCAGCAGCUGCAGAAACUUCCAGCCGCGCCGAGCUCAUCUCCACCUUGACAGCAUCCAUCGCCGCGGCCGUUGACGCCUUUCUCCGGCCGAACUCAUCACCUCCAACAUCAACAUCCCCCAUCCAGCCAAUACCACCCAUGACAGACCACUCCCCAGCCGCAGCCAAAGAAACGCACCAGCCGGCCCUAAAAUCCCAAACAUCACAAAACCCUAAUAUCCACCCGUUUCCACCCAUCACAACCCGAGCCCAUGACCAAACCCGAACCCACCCACCCAAUCACCAGAUCCGAACCCACCAUUUAAAUAACCCAACCAAUUUACAAGCCCAACAGCCCAUUUCUUUUAAUUCUCUCCAUCAAGCCCAACAGCCCCCUCUUUUUAACCCUCUCCACCAAGCCCAAAACAAAAACAAUUUCCAAGCCCAACAACAAACUAAUAAAAGCCUAGAACAACAAUCCAAGCCCAACCCAGUUUUUAAAAAACCUUCCUAUGCUAAUGUUACUAAUCCCGCUCAUAUUCUUAAUCCCAAUGCUCCAACUCACCCGAAAUCAUUUGUGGAUACAGUUGCGGGCGUGUCCACCACAAUUCCUCCUAAACCGAUUUCUCUGGUCCGCGGCGAACCGGCUGUACAUUUUUCGGCUGCAGAAAUUCAAACAAUGGCAGAACCAUUCAAAUUAUCCCUCGUAGGUAAAUUUUCUUUUGGCCGACCUCCUAUGGAAUUAAUCAGAAAAUUUUUUGUUUCUCUUGGUCUCAAAGGAAAUUGCCAAAUAUCUUUAUUGGAUUCUCGCCAUGUUUUAAUUAAACUUGUUUUAGAAGAGGAUUAUUCUAGAAUUUGGUUGCGACAGACAUGGUUUAUUAAUGGGCGGGGCAUGCGAGUCUUUAAAUGGAGCACUGAUUUUCGGUGUUCCGUAGAGUCUCCGAUUGUUCCGGUUUGGGUGUCAUUACCUCAUUUACCUGUGCAUUUCAUUCAUUGUAAAUCUGCUCUUUGCUCCAUUGCUUCUGCCAUUGGUACCCCACUUCGGGUUGACCACGCUACGGCUUCGGUUACUCGGCCGACUGUAGCUCGUGUUUUAGUGGAGUAUGAUGUUUCCAAGCCGUUAUUACCGCGCAUAUGGAUUGGUGAGGGGGAGUCAGGUUUCUGGCAAGAUGUGGUUUUUGAACGAGCUCCGGCCUAUUGUGCUACUUGCAAACAUCUCGGCCAUUCUGUGGACUCUUGUUAUAUUGCUAAUCCGGAGCUUCGCAAGACUCAGCCUGCAGCUGGGGCCCAGUCCAGAGACGAGGGCAAAAUGAAGAAAUCUGACACCGUGAUUCAGCCACAGCAGCCUAGUACUACCCGUUUUGUGGUUAUUUCUGAUCACCGCACUCAGGGCCCGAGUACCCAGCCUCCAGUAGAUCCGUCUCCGGCCCCCCCGCUCGAUGAGUCUCGGCCAGUGGACACUUCGCCGCCAGGCGCACCCUUGGAUCAUCCUGCUUCACACCCCGAUGAUGUCUCUACCUCCCCGGGUAUUAUUCCAGUGCACACAGCGGACCACACUCAGGUUGGAUUUAACUCACAUUCCACAGAUAUCCCCGACCUUGAUGAUGGUGAUAGGCAUAGACGUUUGGGUUUAUCCCGUUCGACUGAGGACGUCCCCCCUGAUUCAGACAGAGAGUUGGGCGAUGAGGGUCGGUUCCUCACUGAUUCUGAGGAGAUUCAUCCACCACCAGCCCCAGAUGCAGUUAUUGAGAGCUUUGAUAGUGAGCGGGUCGCGAGCUCUUCUCGGGAUUUCUCCCCCGUGCAGGGUCGCCGUCUCCGUAGCCAUCAGAGGCGGAUGCGGCAUCGUUCCCCCACUCCUGAUGAUUAGUUCCCUUAUUUGGAACAUUCGGGGGAUUGGCAAAACCCCCGCCAUCCGCAGAUUGCGGAAAUUGAUUCAUAUGCAUCGCUUGUCUUUGAUUUGUAUUUUGGAGCCGUUUAUUUCGGUGGAUCGUCUCGAGGCUAUCAGGGUGCAACUUGGGAUGGAGCAUGGUCUUUCUUCUCAGUCUGGGAAGAUUUGGAUUUUUUGGUCGGCUCCUUUCUCGGUGGAGCUGCUUCACGACAUGGGGCAGGUGCUUCAUUGCCGGGUUAGUCACUCUCUACUUCCCGAUCCAGUAUUAGUUUCGUAUGUUUAUGCUAGUUGUUUUAUGGAUGUUCGUGAGGAUUUAUGGGCUGCUCUAGAGUCCUUUGCCGAUAGCCAUGAUCUCCCGUGGAUUGUUGGAGGUGAUUUCAAUGUUGUUCAGGCUGUAUCAGAGAUUUCUGGCGGUCACCCUCAGCCUCAGGGGGCCAUUGAUGCUUUUAACUUAGCAUUGCUUGAUUGUGGUUUAGAGGAUGCAGGCUUUGUUGGUAGUCCAUUUACUUGGACUAAUGGCCACACCUGGCGGCGGCUUGAUAGAGUUGUUUGCAAUGCCCGUUGGUCAGCUUUUUUCUCCGUUUUUCGGGUCUCGCAUCUGAACCGCACCGCAUCCGAUCAUUCUCCCCUUCUCCUGUCUUGGGAUCGAGAUACGACUAGAGGCCCUUCUCGGUUUAAAUUCCUCCAUGUUUGGCUCAAGCACCCGGGGCUCAUUGAUAUUGUGCGGCACUCCUGGAAUGCUCCGGUGGUCGGUGCUGGGAUGAGGGCCUUUCAGCAGAAGCUUGUCCGGUUGAAGCUCUGCUUGAAAGCUUGGAAUAAAGAUAUAUUUGGCAACGUCUUCUCUCAGGUUCAGCAGGCGGAGGAGGAGGUGGCUCAGAAGGAGAGAUUGUAUGAUAUUUCUGGUUCCGCUGAUGACAGAGCUUCCUUUUCUGAGGCUAGGGCUCGAUUACAGCAGGCUUUGCUCCGUGAGGAGAUUUUUAUGCGCCAGCAGUCUAGUGUUCGAUGGGUCCGCGAGGGCGACUCCAACACCCGCUUUUUCCACGCCAUGAUCCGGAAAAAGCGUCAGUUAUUCCAUAUCCACAGGAUUCGUGAUGAUUCUUCUUCUGAGUGGAUUACUGAUCCCUCUGCUGUUGCCACUUCUGCUGUUGAUUUCUUUCGGGAUUUAUUGUCUGGGGACGAUGGGCGGUUCCAGCAGACUGAUUUCGACACCAUUCCCACUCUUGUGACUGCGGAGGAUGAUGCCGUUUUAUGCAGGGAGCCGGAUCUUGAUGAUGUUAGACGGGCGGUCUUUUCCAUUGAUCCUGAGAGCGCCCCGGGUCCUGAUGGCUUCUGCAGCAGGUUUUACCAGGUUUGCUGGGACAUUGUAGGGCGGGACUUAUUAGAUGCUGUUCUUGACUAUUUCCGAGGUUCGGCCAUGCCCAGGGGCUUCCAGAGCACUUUAUUGGUCCUUCUGCCCAAGAAGGAAUCCCCUUCCUCUUGGAUUGACUUCCGGCCGAUCAGUCUCUGUAACGUGAGCAACAAGGUUAUCACCAAGUUGCUUGUUCAGAGACUGUCACCCAUUCUGCCUCGGAUUAUUUCCCCUACUCAGAGUGGUUUUGUUCCCGGACGGGUAAUUCAUGACAACGUGCUCCUAGUUCAGGAACUCGCUCACGAUCUCAACCGCCGUACCCGCGGGCACAAUGUGGUGUUGAAACUCGAUAUGGAAAAGGCUUAUGAUCGUAUGUCUUGGCCAUUCAUUCUCCAGAUGCUUCGUUGCUUUGGGUUCUCGGAGCGUUGGAUUUCUCUGAUUCGGAGAGCUGUCUACGGCCCUUGGUUCUCGGUGCUUGUGAGUGGAGCCAUUCACGGGUAUUUUCAGUCUGAGAGGGGACUUCGGCAGGGCGAUCCCAUUUCUCCUUGCCUCUUUAUUAUUGCCGCUGAGUUUCUAUCUCGAGGUUUAACCCACCUGUAUUCUCGGUAUCCUUCGGUUAGGUACCGAUCGGCUGCUCCUACGGAUAUCUCCCAUUUGAGCUUUGCGGAUGACAUUGUUAUUUUUGCAAAUGGGAGCCGCGGUAGUUUACAGCGGAUUAUGGAUUUCCUUCGCCACUAUCAGGCGGUUUCGGGGCAGUUGAUUAGUCGGACCAAGAGCGGCUUCUACAUCGGGAAACCAGCCUCAGCUUCAUGUCGGACUAUUGUGCACUCAGUUACUGGUUAUCAGUGGCGACAGCUCCCUUUUAUUUAUCUUGGGUGUCCGAUUUUCACCGGGUGCCUCAAGAUUUCUUAUUUUGAUGAUUUGGUCCGGAAGGUCAGGGAGAGGAUCUCCGGCUGGGCCAACCGAUUGCUCUCCUUUGGUGGGAAGCUGAUUCUCAUUCGUCACGUGCUGUCUGCUUUGCCUUUGCAUUUAUUUCAUGUUCUCCGUCCUCCCUCGACGGUGAUCCAGAGCUUAGAGAGAUUAUUCACCCGAUUUUUAUGGGGGGACUCCGAGGGGCGACGGCGGAUCCACUGGUGUAGAUGGCCGGCAGUUUGUUUUCCCGUUGAUGAGGGCGGUCUCGGCAUUCGGUCCUUCGAUGAUAUGGCAGAGGCUUUUGAGAUGAAACUCUGGUGGCGGUUCCGUCAACAGAGUUCUCUUUGGGCUUCCUUUAUGAAGUCCAAGUACUGUAGAUCCGUGCAUCCGGGUGUUAUUCAGUUUCGAUAUCCUGCCUCCCCCCUUUGGAGACGCCUUUGUUCGAUUCGCGAGACGGCUGGACCCCACGAGCGUUGGCUUGUUGGGCAGGGCGAGUGCAGUUUCUGGUAUGAUUGUUGGUUGGGCUCUUGCCCCUUAUAUUUGUUUAACCCCGCAGCGGCAUCCUCGCGGCCGGUUUCUUUUUAUUGGCAGGGUGCAGUAUGGGACAGAGGUAAACUGGCGGACAUCCUGCCUAUAUCUAUUGUGGAGCAGAUUUUAUUGGUGCCUAUUUCUUGUGAGGAGCCCGACUUGAUUCGUUGGGAUCUUAGCCCCGAUGGCAACUUUCACUUACGGACCGCUUGGGAGCUUGUGCGGAGCCCCAGACCGAGAGAUGAGGUUUAUUCCAUUAUUUGGCAGAGGCAUAUCCCAUCGAGAGUAUCUUUUUUUCUCUGGCGCCUCAUUCACGGUUAUCUUGCCACUGACGAUGCCUUGUGCUUGAGGGGAUUCCACAUGGUUUCUAGGUGUUUGUGCGGACGGGCAGCGGAGACUCUUCGACACCUUUUUCUGGAUUGCCCGAGGACCCGCCAUAUUUGGGGCCACUACCAGUGGAUUUUGGGGAUGCGACAGCUUGAUUUUUUAUCCCCCCGUGCUCUGCUCCUGACCUGGAGACUUCGUGCCCCUUCCCGGACUCAUAUGUUGGUCCUCCUGCCUUGCUUCAUUCUGUGGCAGGUUUGGAAGGCCCGCAACGCUUACCGGUUUCACUCACAGUCUUUUUCUCCUGAUGCAGUCAUAUUUCAGGUUGCAUCCGACCUUAGACUUGCUGGUUCUGCUUUUGGUUUCAAGCCUCCCCAACUGCGGGGAGUCUUGAAUUCCCGGUUUUUGGAGGGUCUCAGAGUUCUUGUACCGCCUCGGAGGCCGGUUCGCCUAGUUGCCUGGAUGAGACCGCCGCCUGGGGUGGUCAAGCUGACAGUGGAUGGUUGCUCGAGGGGCAACCCUGGGAUGGCUGCUUCCGGGGGCAUCUUACGGGAUUAUCGGGGUGCAGUUCUAGCCGCAUUUGGUUCUUUCCUGGGCCAUCAGCCCAUCUUAUAUGCUGAGCUCAUGGCGAUUUGCGAGGGCUUGGAGUUAGCGUCACGACUUGGCCACUCGGUUCUUGAGGUAGAGUCGGAUUCGGCCACGGUGGUUUCAUGGGUUCACUCUCAGGGUUCUGUCCGAUGGGAUUAUUCUUACCUUCUCCGUCGAGCGUGUCGCCUGAUAUCUUCCGCUUCCAUUCAGGUGAGACAUGUCCUACGCGAGGCUACUUCUGCAGCAGACUUCUUGGCCAACUGGGCCUGCACUCAUCGAUCUAGUCGGCAUUUCUCUUCCCCUCAGGAGCUCCCUAGCGGCUUAUCGGGUAUCCUCCACACAGACGCCCAGUCGAUCCCGUAUGUGCGACGAUAGGCUUUUUUAUUACUAUUUCCUUUUGUAUUUCAUUAUCUUGCGGAGGUCUUGGCUCAUGUCCCCCUCCUUGUAUCUUCCGCUCUUUUCGGAUAUAUUUGACAGGUAGGGGUCCCGCCUAACCCCCCACCUUUUCUUUGGUGGUUUCAAAAAAAAAAAAAAACCCUAAAACCCUAAACCCUAAACCCUAAACCCUAAACCCUAAACCCUAAACCCUAAACCCUAAACCCUAAACCCUAAACCCUAAACCCUAAACCCUAAACCCUAAACCCUAAACCCUAAACCCUAAACCCUAAAAACCCUAAACCCUAAAACCCUAAACCCUAAACCCUAAACCCUAAACCCUAAACCCUAAAAUCCUAAAACCCUAAAACCCAAAACCCUGAAACCCUUAACCCUAAAACCCUAAACUCUAAACCCUUAACCCUUAAACCCU
This 7938-nucleotide long non-coding RNA is filed under the name Citrus x clementina. RNAcentral's name for it is "Citrus clementina (C. clementina) long non-coding RNA (CCLE_LNC002233)". The record is from RNAcentral. Lineage: Eukaryota; Viridiplantae; Streptophyta; Magnoliopsida; Sapindales; Rutaceae.